GAACUUCUGGAAAUGCGUCAAAAAGCCUUUCUUCUCUGCCUAAACUGUGCUGAGGAUCCAACCUGGUUUAUACGCUAGUUUGGCAUAUUUGAUUACUUAAAAAUGAAAUCUGCGUGUUAAAUAUUCUAAAAUAUAUUUAUAAUUUUGACAUUGUUGUUUUGUUCUGUCUGCCAUGAGUACAUUAUCAUUCUUUGUUUCAAGCAACGAACUGAAGUAUUAGCAAGAAUUUCUUUCCAUUUUCUUAGAACUCCCCAAGGUCUAUAGUUUUCUUUGCAGAAACAGUUGCCAUUAAAUAUGCUGUAUGUCAAUGCAGCAGUGAGGUGGUUAAUUUUGACUGAAUAUUAUGCUAUAUAACCACUUGGCAUUUAACUUGAAAAAUGACUUUCUGCUUCACCUGUCAGCAGCCUAGUUCUCAUCAAAUAAGUGGGCUCUACUCAUGAGCAUAGUGUGGGGCUUGCAGGAUGUCACUAUGUCCUCCUGACAGUUACCUCUGCUACUGACUGUGAUCAGAUAUACCAAUUCGGUGGUUCAUGUUCUUCAGUCCUCAAGGGAAGAGUAUGAGGUCCACAACCAGCCUCUACAGAAGAUGAACUACCAUCAAACGAAGCAUCAAAAGGAAUUCAAGCUUACUUGGUCAUAGUCUGGACAUCACAUUUUUAUAGGAACAAAGGAAGAUGUGGUAUGCCCUUCACAUAUGCUCAUAUUAAAAAUUUACUAGGAUAUCCAAAGUUGGAAGGGACCCACAAAGAUCAUCGAGUGUGACUCCUGAAAUUUUGGGCUAAGGAUUAAGAAAUACUUUACUUUUUUUUAAAAAAAGAACAGCAGGUAAGUAAGUGUAUAAAAAGGAAAUUUGUUCCCAUAUUAUGUAUCCUUAUACCUGCAAAUUU
Molecule: long non-coding RNA, 887 nt
Filed under: Anas platyrhynchos platyrhynchos (common mallard)
Lineage: Eukaryota; Metazoa; Chordata; Aves; Anseriformes; Anatidae
Description: lncRNA (ENSAPLG00000022375.1)
Source: RNAcentral